AAUAGAUUUUUAAGUCCCA
Molecule: unclassified non-coding RNA, 19 nt
Filed under: Dictyostelium discoideum
Lineage: Eukaryota; Evosea; Eumycetozoa; Dictyosteliales; Dictyosteliaceae
Source: RNAcentral